GGAGGAGUUCCCGAGCGGCCAAAGGGAGCAGACUGUAAAUCUGCCGGUAGACACCUUCGUAGGUUCGAAUCCUACCUCCUCCACCA
RNAcentral lists this transfer RNA (86 nucleotides) under Desulfofarcimen acetoxidans DSM 771. Its description in RNAcentral is "tRNA-Tyr (GTA) (tRNA-Tyr-GTA-1-1, tRNA-Tyr-GTA-1-2)". It matches the Rfam family "tRNA". Rfam says of the family: Transfer RNA (tRNA) molecules are approximately 80 nucleotides in length. The record is from RNAcentral. Lineage: Bacteria; Bacillati; Bacillota; Clostridia; Eubacteriales; Peptococcaceae.